AUCCCAUCAGUUAGUUGGUAGUGUAAGAGACUACCAAGGCAAUGACGGGUAGCGGGUUUGAAGGAUGAUCCGCCACACUGGUACUGAGACACGGACCAGACUCCUACGGGAGGCAGCAGUGAGGAAUAUUGCACAAUGGGCGAAAGCCUGAUGCAGCAACGCCGCGUGGAGGAUGACGCAUUUCGGUGUGUAAACUCCUUUUAUGAGUCAAGAAAAUGACGGUAGCUCAUGAAUAAGCACCGGCUAACUCCGUGCCAGCAGCCGCGGUAAUACGGAGGGUGCAAGCGUUACUCGGAAUCACUGGGCGUAAAGGACGCGUAGGCUGGCUUGUAAGUCAGAUGUGAAAUCCUAUGGCUUAACCAUAGAACUGCAUUUGAAACUACGAGCCUAGAGUAUGGGAGGGGGAGAUGGAAUUAG
Molecule: ribosomal RNA, 417 nt
Filed under: uncultured bacterium
Lineage: Bacteria
Description: bacterial SSU rRNA
Rfam family: Bacterial small subunit ribosomal RNA
Source: RNAcentral